CCUAGGAGGUGAUGCUCCUGACAGUUUGAUUACUCAGACUCUGAAGUGAAAAUGCCCAACCAAAGAGAUCUGUUGAGAGAGACAAAAACCAGCAUCACAUUAAAAUAAGAAAAUCAGGAUUUUUGUGAAGGACACGGUCGUGUAUUUGCAUGUUGCUGAAACCCAAAGGUAGCUAUUUUAGGGUUAUUUUUGGAGGGAAAAAGGAGAGACACAGCCUGGCUGCUCCUGUUUUCUCAGCCAUGAGGGAGAGGUCCUGUCAGAGUGGUCCCUGUGUGACUGAUCAGUCAGAACCUGAUGGGAGUCAGAUUCUCCCCUCCAAAGUUCUGUUUUCUUCUCACUGAAGAAGAAACUUCCAGCUCUCAGGUCUUCUCAUACCUCUGGAGAGGACACCACGCCUGAAGUGAUUGUGAAGAACACCUCAAACAAACAAAAAAACAAGUUAAUUUGUCUUCAUCAGAUCCUGUCCAGAAUGCAUUGUAACUGGUUGAAAUUUUGCUGAGAGUUGGGGAGGGAAGAAAACAGAACUAAUCUGAUCAUAGCAGGGGGAAGCAAGUUCAUUUUCUCAACCUGGAGAAGUGUCUUCAAGCUCACCCCUGGUGGAAGGUCCGUGGGUUUUAGCGCUGCAGACUCCUAAAUCUAGUCAAAACACCUCUGCGGGAAGAAAAUAAAAGCUAGAGAAUGAGCAGAGAAAUACCUGUUCUUUAAAAAUCAGCUUUAAGCUGAAUGACUGCACAACUACUUGAUUAUGAGCUGCCCUGUAAUCCCCAAAUCCUACUGAAUUCACACCCUGGCGACGUAGCAAUGUCAAAGGGAUGCAACUGGUAAUUCUGCCUGGCUGUUAAACUGCCUCAUGUCACCCUAUUUCCAAUGGCUGCUGACAAGGGGGAGAGCGUGCAGGAGGAUGGGCAGGGGCUGGGAGCACUUUCAUCCUGCUGAGGCUGUGUGUGUGUGAGCAUCCCGGGGGAUCCCUCCUCGGGAAGCGCCGCAGAGCCGCCGGCGGUGCGCGGUGCCGAUAAGGAGAUGAAACAAUGGCUGCGACACUGGGAGCCUUCACGGGAUGACUUGACCACCCUGUGCUUUGUGAGUUUUGAUGCCCUUCCCUCUUUCCUUGCUCAAAGGAAACCUGUUUGUGUUUGGACAUCUGGGGAAGAUGAUACAAAGCCGGCAAGAUCUCGUAUUGGUAAGACACCACUGAUAUCUUCUGGUCUUGAGCAGCAAUCCAGUGUCUCCCAACUGUUUUCUCCCUAUGUGUCACCCUCAAAGUUUGCCUUAGUGUGCAAAUGGCCCCAGCACAAUGAUGGAUGGAGGAAGGCAGCAGAGCUUGGGUGGGGGACAGAUUGAGGAGGCUGUGUCAGCACUAAGCAGGAAGCCACGCAUGUGCUUUCCUUUCCCAUCACCAAACCUCCCAAGUCCCUUCACUCUGGGGUGCCUGUCCCCUACGUGGGUAUGUCCAGGCCUGAAUCUAGUGGUUUUCCAUUCCUCUGCUCUUUCCACAGUAAGUCACUUUGCCAGUUUGCAUCCUUCCCUUGCAGGGCAGUGCUGCUACCAGGGAAAAAGAGUGGGAUGGGGGUGGCAGAGAGGAUCAGCAGGAUGUGGCUCUUAGAGACAGUUUGGCAUCUUACUACCCAUGGACACCCACCUCAGUGGGGUCAGGAGAUCCCUGUGGAUGCGCAGGUGCAUUCCACAGCAGUUGCAUCCAUGCCAUCCCUGCAGCCAGGUCCCUGUGACUGUAGCCUCACAUUUCAUUUCCAAAGAACUACAGAGGAUUUUCUGGUGUUAAAUUCUGUCUUGCUGAUGUGUUUGUUGAGUCAGCGCCCCACUCAGCCUCAACCUGAAACACAGCUUGGGACUAUUAGUACAGUUCCUAAUUUCGGCUGUGCUUAUGAGCCUUCAGCUUGAGUUUGCUCUCUCACUGGAGUCACUGUUUACUAUAACAUAAUUCUUCUAAAUUCAUACCCAUCCUCUCAACACACACGUCUCUCUCAGAGAUUUUCAUGCAUUUAAAUGAAAAAGCCAUAUAGUUCCUUUUCCUCAUUCACAUUAUGCAGCAUUGCCCUUCUCUGUACCUUGUCCUGUUUCAGAGCUGUCAUGCAAAUAAACCCAACUUAAAAAAAAUCAUUUAAAAGUGUGCAUCCUAUCAACCUUUUUUUUCCUUCUCAUGCUGUAUCUUCUCCUUCCUGCCUUCCUAUUUCUGAUGUUUCCACUUCUUUCCUAACUGUGAUCCAGUAUCUUUAUGGUUCCCCAGUUGCCCAGGAAACAAACCCUGACUCCCUUUUCCUCAACGUGUAGUAUUCACUAUUCCAUGAAGCUACUGUUUCCUGAAGUAUUUUAUUGUGGGAUUUUUCCCUAAACUACUCCAGAUGGGAGAAUUCUCCUUUUCAGUCCCUGUACUGAGGCACCCCCUUUCCUUUAUCCACCUGAGUCUACCUGCAUAAAGCAGUCAUUUCAUUCUCUGCCUCCAUCACUGCAGUAUCUGACUGAAUUCAGCAUAAUUUCUUUGAGUGUACUGAACAGUCACCCUUCUGCAAGGCAUUCUUCAUGGAUUCCCAUGGGAUUGCUGUGUUGGGCACAGAACAGAGAUCCUCUUUAGCAGACACUAAAGAUGGAGAAUGCAGAUCUGGCUCUGGGGUUCCUGGUGGGGUCCCUGGAGGCAGGGGGUGUCAGCAGGAAGGAUCAUUUGUCCUUCCUCUUGGCUCGAGUGCACAGCACUUGUUAUUGACUCUCCUGAGCAACAACCAUAAAGCCAAAUCAGACACUCUCCCAGAAGGAGAAAACCACCAGAAAAUGAAAAAAAACCCAAAACAACCAACCCUAAAAAUUAUCCCAGUAUAUACAAUGGGGGAGGGAUUUAAAGAGUAAAAUGCAGGUUGUCCCCGUGCAAUGAGGAUCUUGUUGUUGCUGCAGCUGGGACUCUGUGAGGGAAUGUGGGUGUUGGUGUGGCUGUGGUGGGGAGUUUGCACAAGUCACAGGUGGAGAGAGCGAGAGACACUGGAGCAGGUAUGGAAGAACCACUCAAGGCUUUUGCCUGUAAUCCUCUCAUCUCUGAUAUUCCCUACAGAGACCCCUGAUGGCCAAGAGAUUGCCUUUUGCAAAAUGAAAUAUGCCCUGGAGUGAGAUCUCCAGUUUGUGGUAAAAAUAACUAUUACUUCACAGGCCCAUGGAAAAGCACCUGCCUGGGUAGCAGGAGACUGGCAAACCACAGAUACAAAAAUGGAUGUGACAAGUUCUGCGCUGAACAUCUAUUGUUGAAGUUAAGCUGCCCCAUCUUCCCUUUUUCCUUGUAAAACUUUGUAUUAUCUUGAUUUUUAGUGACACAUGGAAGGUAAAAUGGUCUAAAUCUUAAUGAUUCAUGGGAUGGGGACUGUUUGUCAGCUUCAAUAAAUCUGUUAGCUUCUUUGACAGUGAGGAGGGAAGAGCUGUUUCGAAUUCAUGGUAUGUUUUAAAAGUUUCUUUCAAAGUGUACUGUUUUUUUCUCUCCUCUCAUGUUUCUCAGAAGAAACCAGCCUGCCAAACUGCUCCAGGAAGCUCUUCUGAGAUAGAGACAUCCAUCUCUGUGUACGGUCUGUACUUGUGAAGCAGAGCACAAAGCCCUUUUUCCAUUUAAUCCAUAUUAAUUAUCUCUCUGCAGCUCCUCUCUAGUUUCCACUCAUCCCAGGCACCAGAAACUUGUGUGGCUACAUCUCAAACAAACCAGAGCCUUUCACUAACCACCUGGUAAGUCAACACGCUAAAAAUAAAAAUAAAUAGAAAGGUUUACUGCUGAAGGAUUGAAGCUUUGAAACGGAAUGCCGUGGGACUGUGGACUAAGGUGGAUAUUUUUAGUGCCAUCAAUAUCUCUUGGAGUUGAUAUCUCCCAAGACAGAUGGUUGUUUCCCACAGAACGUUGUCAAAUGUUUGCUCAGCCAAGAUCAAUUUUGUUCCAAGUCCUUUCCCACCUUCUGCUGAAAUACAUUUCACUUGCCAGACAAAAAAUUACAGAAACAGCAUGAAACCUUGCCACUGUAGAAGGUUCUGGUCCCCGUGGCUCUGCUGUGCCCUUUGCCGUGUGACUGACAUCUCUCUCUUGGUGCUGGGGAGGAAUAAAAGAUGCACUCAUGCCGUGAGCACAUCAGGGCUCUCAGAUCCCAUGUCAGAGGCUGAUUUCCUGUGGCACCUGCACGUCACUUCUCAGCCUGUCAAAGGGCCUUGCUGCCACGCUUUGCUCUUCAUCUCCUGGAUCCUGAGCUCUUGACCUGCACACCCCAAAUUGAUCUUGCAAGAAAACGAGGUGCAAGAGUGAAUGUAUCUCCUGGAUCCUGAGCUCUUGACCUGCACACCCCAAAUUGAUCUUGCAAGAAGACGAGGUGCAAGGGGGAAGGAGGAGCAGAAGUGGUGCUGAAGAGGGGGCACAGAGAGGCUGAGUUUGUGCCCAUUGCUCAGCAACUGCAGCUUUUCUUUUAAUUCCAAGCCCAAGUGAGUCUGGAGACAUGGAAGCCCUUUGUGGUGUCUGGCAGCGUGCGUGGGUCUGUGGGCAUUUUCAGCUGAAAUCAGUGGGGAGCAAAGGACUUUUCAAAGGGUGGUGUGAGAUGUGUUUAUUUUCUUUUCCUUGCUGGUUGCUAUUUUUAGCUGAGCCUGGUUUGUCACAGUGUAAGAGACAGAGCUGGUUCUUUCCAAAGUUCCCUUAUAAUGCCUGAUUGUUACAAGUGAGAAAUUACAGCAGGCAGCGACAGCAGCAGUUCCUGAAAUGUUAUGAUGAUUCCUUCCUGCUACACUUAUCUUGUUGUGGCUCUGUAUUUGGAAAUUGUUAAUACAUGGUUGUUUUCUAGCAAGGAUUUGGCAAUCCAGGCUCAGUAGGGUAUCUCUCAUUUUUAUUGCUUCAUACACAAAAAUAAUACUGAUUUAGUUUUGUAAUUCUAAAUCCUUUUGAAAAUGCGACAAAAUCAAAUUCAUUCUUCUGCACACUGAAAGGUACAUUGGAUCAUCCAGAAUAUCCUUUCCAUGCUGAUCCAUAAUCUUUACUAUUAGAGAUUCAGAGGCAGGUGAGGCUCUCAUUGGAAGGGAGAUCAAUGCUAUGAUGCCCAAAAAUAGUUUUCAUCCUUAAUUUAGUUGUCAGAGUGAUCUAUUCACACCCCCCUGACAUCUUAAACAGCCCCUAUAUCCUCAGACUGCUUUUGCAGAACAGGAUUAUAGUUGAAAGAAAUGUGCAGGCCUUAGUAUUGUUUGAGAUUUGCCUGGGAUUUAUUAAUAUUUCACUCCUGCAUUUUCCUUAGGAUUACAGACCCUUGAUCCUUCACUCAUGUAGGAGGCAUUUUCAGCCUCCUCCUGCCAAAUGAGCAUCUUCACUGUUACCAGAGUACUGUGGAUGCAUAACCAUACAUACAUAUAUGCACAACUUAUUACUAAAUUGUUAACCUGCAAAAAUCACUUUCUGUCACCUGGCAAAGUCAAGUGGAAGCCUCGGUGUAAGGCCUUUUCUUAUAUGGACUUCAUUUUUUAAUUUUAUAUUUUUUUUAUAACCUGUCAAUGGAAACAAGGUUUGCAGUGUCAUAGAGACUCCUGGGAGGGAGUGGAUGUGAGGAUAAAUGGAUCAUUUGGCCUGCAGGUGGGUUUGGAACAACCCAAUCCCUAUCCUCUUGUACAAAGCCUUCUUGUGCAAAGAGGAAUAAGGGGAAUGCAACAAUUCCAUAUAUAAAAAUCUGGGAAAGGAAAACCUGAAACAUACACAAACUUUGUGUAUGUCUUUGUGUAAGAUGGUGUUUUUUAUUAAGCCUUAUUUUAUCUAUGUCAUAGAAUCACAGAAUGGUUUGGAAUGGACCUUAAGGACCAUCCAGUUCCAACCCAUCUGCCAUGAGCAGGGACACUUUCCACUAUCCCAGGUUGCUCCAAGCCCCAUCCAGCCUGGCCUCAAACACUUCCAGGGAUGGGGCAGCCACAGCUUCUCUGGGCAACCUGGGCCAGGGCCUCACCACCCUCAGAGGGAAAAAUUUCUUCCUAAUAUUUAAUCUGACCCUGCCCUCCGAUAGUUGAAGCCAUUCCCUUUUGUCCUGUCACUACAUGUCCUAUUUAACAGCUGGCUUCUCUCCUGCUCUUUUUGGGAGCUUUCUGAUCUGCUUCAAGCUGUAAGGAGAAAAAAAACCUUCUUCCUUUCUCCUUAAGAAUAUUCAUGUGCAAAGGCCAAGCUCCUGCUCUUACAUCUUUGCUUGGGAGUUCGUCUCCCAGAUACAUUAAUUUGUGGAACGUUGUCAUUGUUAAGAUCCAAAUUAAGCUGCCUAUCCUGUAAAGGAUCCCCCCUGCCUGAAGCAAAACAGAACACUUAAUGCAUUUUUUAUAAAGAAUGCCAUUAAGGAUGCAUAAAAGGCAUGUUGUAAAUAUUAAAGUGAGACUAUCACUUUUUUUCUUUCCUUACUCCAUAAAGCAGAGGAGAAAAAUCUACAGGUCAAAUUCCUUCUGAUGCAAAUUAAGCCAGAUUCUUUGAUUUCAAGUGCUUUGUCCAUUUCUUUUACUAUGGUGUUAGAAUUUCUUCCUGAGCUCUGAAACAGCCCUGCUAGGAUGUUUGAAAAUGUGGCAAGUUCAAUUAUAGAACUAUGCAAUAGUGCAGCUAUAAAAACACUUGCAUGUGAACAGAGCAAGAACAGAGAACAUACAUGAAUAUUUCUAGAUAUGUUGAGGUUGUCUAAAGCUGGUCCCUGGCCAAGGCAGGUUUGACACAGAGCUCAGGGUUUUAUGAGACUCCCAUGAGCAAUGUUGGCCCAAGACUUGGUGCAUGCAUCUCCCAGGCAUGUUGCCUGCUAGGCUGUUAUCCCACCUAGUGGCUGCUCUCCCAUCCCACAAGGUGAUUUUCUUCCAGGAUAUUGGUGGAUCAAGCCAAGGCCUGAUGUAUUCCUGCAGUUAGCAGUGAAUGUGCUUCCACAUUGCUUAGUCGGGUGGUCAAACGUGUGCCCUCGCCUUGACUGCGUUACACCAGGGAUAGGUUUCAUGUUCUCAUCACCUGAAUUUGUGCAUCAAAUACAGAUGCCUGUCUAGUACAGCCAGCUUCCAGUGUGAGUGCUCCGCAUCACUCUUCUUAUUACACAACCACAGAAUCGUUUGGGUUGGAAACGCAAGAUCUUCUCGAGUCCAGCCAUUACCCAGCACAGCCAGGCUCACCACUAACUCAUGGCCCCAGGCAAAACACCUAAGUGGCUUUUAAAUACCUCCAGGGCUGGUGACUCCACCCCUUCUCUGGGCAUCCUGUUCCAAUGCUUAACAACCAUUUCAACGAAGAAAUUUUUCCUAAUAUCCAAUCUAAAGAUCCCAUGGUGCAACUUGAAGCCAUUUCCACUUGUUACUUGGGAGAAGACACUCACAACAACCAUGCUGUGUCUUCCUCUUAAUUUGGGCACAUGAGAUAAUGUGAAGAAGGCCCUCCCUGUCCCUACUUGUGGGACCAUCUCAAGUUUACCUAAGUCCCUAACAGCAGUCACAGGAGUGACUUUUAUCUUCUCUGCUGUCAGUACACAGGUGUAUAUUGACAACACCCCUACUCACUGUCUAUCCACUUCCCCAUCAGCUCAACGCUGACCUGAGUGAAGGCAAAAAUAAAAUUUGCCUUCCAAAGAAGUAGGGUUCAAGCCAAACUUCUGAGUUGGAAUCACAUGAAAAACAUAUUCUUUUAAAAGUAUUUUGGUGACAACAAGAAAAAAAGGUUGUUUGCCAAAGCACCACAAGAAACUUCCCCCGACUGGACAGGGAUAAUAUUUACAGUGAGCCUUCGAGAAGGAGUCCACUAUGUAAUCCUCUGUUCCUUCCUUCUAGGACUGCUGUUUGCCUCUCUAUUUCUAUGCCACAUUUUCCUCUGCUUUCCAAAUGUUGCUUUAUUGUAAAAAUAAGGAAAAAUCUGUCCCACUUAAUUCUUUAGGUCACCACAGUUGUUAAAUGCAUAACUCACUCUGACUGGAGGGUCCAGCUUUUUAAGUUGUUUUCUGUACCCAGAAGAACCUCUUCAUUCUUUUCAUCAUCUUUUUUCCCUGGUUUUGAUGUCAAUCUUGCUUUGUGGGACUGAAGCACUCAAGAGUAAAGGCAGCUGAAAUUGCCAGCACGUGCCUUAAGAGUGUCUGCUGCUCUCUGCAGAGCAGAGAUUUAAUAAUGAAGGUCACCCCAGAAAUUUAAUGGUUAAUCUUCAGCUUUUUCUACAGAAUAAACAACUCUUCUUCAGAAUAUAGAACUAUAAGGAUUAUUUUCAUGUGUAUUUAAAAAAAUCUCAUUGUUAAUGAAACAAAACCAUUGUACUGGCCAUCAUUUUUACUAAAUAAGUCUCAGUAUUUAAUCUCUUUUUUAUUGGAAAAAAUAUAAGACAAUUAAUUACUUCAGCCUACAAGCAAUUAUUUAGGUGAAAACAUUCCCACCUGUGCUGUAUCUGCCAAUGCACUGGAAUAAAAUUUUCCCUAGAAAAGUGAAAAAAGGCCCAGAAAGCUUGACAUGUACUUUCUUUUUUCUUUUUCUCUGUUGUACUUUUUCAUAGAUGUAUAAUUUGGUGAUGAAAUGCAUUUACCAUCAGUACUAUACUCAGUUUAACAGUCAGCUUUUUCUUGCAGAAAACCUGUAGCUCCUUUCUCCCUGAGCUACUUGCUGCCUGCAGCUGGGAAAGCUUUUCCCAUGGCUCCCAAUUAGCUGCCUACCCAAGCUGUCUUUUACAACUGGAUUAGAUAUCCAAGAUUCCCUUCAUAUGUCCCUCUGCUACCUGCUGCACUUCCAUUUGCAUUUGCAGCAACAUCCUUUACAAGUGGUCUGCCGCGUGGUUAUGCCACAGGAAGGUUUGCUGGAUCUGCAAUGUGAAAAAUGAGUAUUUUAUGAUUGGCUUUUCCCAAAUAGUAAAAUGAAUAUUAUAUGUUAGAAAGUUAUGCUGUGUUAAUUUUCUUGAGUAGUGUGUUAAAUAUAGUUUUAGGUUAUAACAUAAUGUUAAAAUAGAAACUAUGCUAUGUAAGAUACUUUUUUUAAAAGAGAGGAAUGAGUUACUCACACCAAGAGAGCAGCCACAGGACGCCUAAAUCUUGCAGAGAAAAAGAAUUUAUUGCCCCAUUAUCAGAAUAAACUAACUUCUUCCACCUUGCUCAGCCAUGAAAAUGCCAUUAGGAUUCAGAGGAAGAAGUUGACACUGACCAGACAGAAUCCUGUGUUUGAAUAGAAUUUAUGCAUCAUGUAUGAGAUGUGUGGAUAUGCAACAGGCUAUUGCUUUUAAGGGUUAAUCCUCUGUUAAGAGUGUCCUUUUUGGGGCUUAUUUUGCCCAGAAAGAGGUACCUGGACUGUCCGUAAUUCUUUGUUUUUAUUGUCUUGUAUUG
Passer domesticus (house sparrow) is the source of this 9296-nucleotide long non-coding RNA. RefSeq lists it as uncharacterized. The record is from RefSeq and is a predicted model, not a curated record. The transcript is spliced from 8 exons. NCBI's taxonomy places the organism in Eukaryota, Metazoa, Chordata, Aves, Passeriformes, Passeridae.